RNAcentral lists this ribosomal RNA (253 nucleotides) under uncultured bacterium. Its description in RNAcentral is "partial 16S ribosomal RNA". It matches the Rfam family "Bacterial small subunit ribosomal RNA", at positions 524 to 776 of the family's 1533-position model. The record is from RNAcentral.
UACAUGGGGUGCAAACGUUGCUCGGAAUCAUUGGGCGUAAAGCGCACGUAGGCGGCACACCAAGUCGGAUGUGAAAUCCCUCGGCUCAACCAAGGAAGUGCAUCCGAAACUGGCGAGCUUGAGUACGGGAGAGGAUCGCGGAAUUCCCGGUGUAGAGGUGAAAUUCGUAGAUAUCGGGAGGAACACCGGUGGCGAAGGCGGCAUCCUGGACCAACACUGACGCUGAGGAGCGAAAGCCAGGGGAGCAAACGGG